This 360-nucleotide ribosomal RNA is filed under the name uncultured bacterium. RNAcentral describes it as "bacterial SSU rRNA". It matches the Rfam family "Bacterial small subunit ribosomal RNA", at positions 29 to 418 of the family's 1533-position model. The record is from RNAcentral.
AACGAACGCUGGCGGCAGGCCUAACACAUGCAAGUCGAACGCUCCGCAAGGGGAGUGGCGCACGGGUGAGUAACACGUGGGAACCUACCUUCUGGUACGGAACAACCAAGGGAAACUUUGGCUAAGACCGUAUACGACCUCCGGGUGAAAGAUUGAUCGCCGGAAGAGGGGCCCGCGUCCGAUUAGGUAGUUGGUGAGGUAACGGCUCACCAAGCCUUCGAUCGGUAGCUGGCCUGAGAGGAUGACCAACCACACUGGGACUGAGACACGGCCCAGACUCCUACGGGAGGCAGCAGUGGGGAAUACUGGACAAUGGGCGCAAGCCUGAUCCAGCCAUGCCGCGUGAGUGAUGAAGGCCUU